UCAAGUAAUUAAGUGCAUGUGGUGGAUGCCUUGGCAGUCAGAGGCGAUGAAAGACGUGAUAGCCUGCGAAAAGCUCCGGGGAGGCGGCAAAUAUCCUUUGAUCCGGAGAUUUCUGAAUGGGGGAACCCACCCGCUAUAAGGCGGGUAUCAUAAGCUGAAUACAUAGGCUUAUGAAGCGAACGAGGGGAAGUGAAACAUCUCAGUACCCUUAGGAAAAGAAAUCAAUUGAGAUUCCCUUAGUAGCGGCGAGCGAACGGGGAGCAGCCCAUUAAGUUAUGUGUGUUCUAGUGGAACGCUCUGGGAAGUGCGAACGUAGAGGGUGAUAUUCCCGUACACGAAAGGGCACACAUAAUGAUGACGAGUAGGGCGAGGCACGUGAAACCUUGUCUGAAUAUGGGGGGACCAUCCUCCAAGGCUAAAUACUCCUGACUGACCGAUAGUGAACCAGUACCGUGAGGGAAAGGCGAAAAGAACCCCUGUGAGGGGAGUGAAAUAGAUCCUGAAACCGCAUGCAUACAAGCAGUGGGAGCACCUUCGUGGUGUGACUGCGUACCUUUUGUAUAAUGGGUCAGCGACUUAUAUUCAGUAGCAAGGUUAACCGCAUAGGGGAGCCGCAGGGAAACCGAGUCUUAACUGGGCGUUAAGUUGCAGGGUAUAGACCCGAAACCCGGUGAUCUAGCCAUGGGCAGGUUGAAGGUUGGGUAACACUAACUGGAGGACCGAACCCACUGUCGUUGAAAAGCCAGGGGAUGACUUGUGGAUAGGGGUGAAAGGCUAAUCAAGCCUGGUGAUAGCUGGUUCUCCCCGAAAGCUAUUUAGGUAGCGCCUCGGACGAAUACCAUUGGGGGUAGAGCACUGUUUCGGCUAGGGGGUCAUCCCGACUUACCAAACCGAUGCAAACUCCGAAUACCAAUGAGUACUAUCCGGGAGACAGACUGCGGGUGCUAACGUCCGUAGUCAAGAGGAAAACAAUCCAGACCGCCAGCUAAGGCCCCAAAAUCAUAGUUAAGUGGGAAACGAUGUGGGAAGGCAUAGACAGCUAGGAGGUUGGCUUAGAAGCAGCCACCCUUUAAAGAAAGCGUAAUAGCUCACUAGUCGAGUCGGCCUGCGCGGAAGAUGUAACGGGGCUAAAACUAUGUGCCGAAGCUGCGGAUGUAUACUUUGUAUACGUGGUAGGGGAGCGUUCUGUAAGCCGAUGAAGGUGUAUUGAGAAGUAUGCUGGAGGUAUCAGAAGUGCGAAUGCUGACGUGAGUAACGACAAAACGGGUGAAAAACCCGUUCGCUGAAAGACCAAGGGUUCCAGUCCAACGUUAAUCGGGGCUGGGUGAGUCGACCCCUAAGGCGAGGCCGAGAGGCGUAGUCGAUGGGAAAUUGGUUAAUAUUCCAAUACUUCUGUGUAAUGCGAUGAGAGGACGGAGAAGGUUAAGUCAGCCUGGCGUUGGUUGUCCAGGUGGAAGGCAGUAGGCAUGCAUCUUAGGCAAAUCCGGGGUGCUCUAUGCUGAGAGCUGAUAGCAAGCUGUACUUGUACAGUGAAGUGGCUGAUACCAUGCUUCCAGGAAAAGUCUCUAAGCUUCAGUUACACAGGAAUCGUACCCGAAACCGACACAGGUGGUCAGGUCGAGUAGACCAAAGCGCUUGAGAGAACUCUGCUGAAGGAACUAGGCAAAAUGGUACCGUAACUUCGGGAGAAGGUACGCUGCUGACGGUGAUGGGACUUGCUCCCUGAGCUGUUGGCAGCCACAGAAACCAGGCCGCUGCAACUGUUUAUUAAAAACAUAGCACUCUGCAAACACGAAAGUGGACGUAUAGGGUGUGAUGCCUGCCCGGUGCUGGAAGGUUAAUUGAUGGGGUUAGCGUAAGCGAAGCUCUUGAUCGAAGCCCCAGUAAACGGCGGCCGUAACUAUAACGGUCCUAAGGUAGCGAAAUUCCUUGUCGGGUAAGUUCCGACCUGCACGAAUGGCAUAAUGAUGGCGGCGCUGUCUCCAGCAGAGGCUCAGUGAAAUCGAAAUCGCUGUGAAGAUGCAGUGUACCCGCGGCUAGACGGAAAGACCCCGUGAACCUUUACUGCAGCUUGACAUUGAACUUUGACCUUACUUGUGUAGGAUAGGUGGGAGGCUUUGAAGUUAGAACGCUAGUUCUAAUGGAGCCGUCCUUGAAAUACCACCCUGGUAAUGUUGAGGUUCUAACUCUGCCCCGUAAUCCGGGGCGAGGACCAUGUCUGGUGGGUAGUUUGACUGGGGCGGUCUCCUCCUAAAGAGUAACGGAGGAGUACGAAGGUGCGCUCAGCGUGGUCGGAAAUCACGCGUAGAGUAUAAAGGCAAAAGCGCGCUUAACUGCGAGACCCACAAGUCGAGCAGGUACGAAAGUAGGUCUUAGUGAUCCGGUGGUUCUGUAUGGAAGGGCCAUCGCUCAACGGAUAAAAGGUACUCUGGGGAUAACAGGCUGAUACCGCCCAAGAGUUCAUAUCGACGGCGGUGUUUGGCACCUCGAUGUCGG
This 2496-nucleotide ribosomal RNA is filed under the name soil metagenome. RNAcentral's name for it is "bacterial LSU rRNA". It matches the Rfam family "Bacterial large subunit ribosomal RNA", at positions 3 to 2535 of the family's 2925-position model. The record is from RNAcentral.